RNAcentral lists this ribosomal RNA (160 nucleotides) under bacterium enrichment culture. Its description in RNAcentral is "partial 16S ribosomal RNA". It matches the Rfam family "Bacterial small subunit ribosomal RNA", at positions 355 to 507 of the family's 1533-position model. The record is from RNAcentral.
UGGGGAAUAUUGCACAAUGGGGGAAACCCUGAUGCAGCCAUGCCGCGUGUGUGAAGAAGGCCUUCGGGUUGUAAAGCACUUUCAGCGAGGAGGAAAGGUUGGCACCUAAUACCUGCCAACUGUGACGUUACUCGCAGAAGAAGCACCGGCUAACUCCGUG